GGGUGAGUGGCGAAAGGGUUAGUAAUACGAUCGAACGUACCCCGAGGUGGAGGAUAGCGGCGGGAAACUGCCGGUAAUACUCCAUGAUGUCUUCGGACCAAAGUUUUGGCGCCUUGGGAGCGGCGAUCGUCCUAUCAGGUAGUUGGCGGGGUAAUGGCCCACCAAGCCUUAGACGGGUAGCGGGUGUGAGAGCACGGCCCGCAACAUCGGAACUGAGACACUGUCCGGACUCCUACGGGAGGCUGCAGUAACGAAUCUUCCGCAAUGGGCGCAAGCCUGACGGAGCAAUGCCGCGUGCGGGAUGAAGUAUCUCUGGUAUGUAAACCGCUGUCAGGGGACGGAAACAAUGAUUGUCCCCAGAGGAAGUGGCGACUAACUCUGUGCCAGCAGUCGCGGUAAUACAGAGGCCACGAGCAUUAGUCGGAAUCACUGGGCUUAAAGGGUGCGUAGGUGGCUUGCCAAGUGCUUUGUGAAAUCCCACGGCUCAACCGUGGAACAGCAGGGCAUACUGGCAGGCUUGAGGCRAGUAGGGGCUGACGGAACAGUAGGUGGAGCGGUGAAAUGCGUAGAUAUCUACUGGAACGCCGAUGGUGAAGACGGUCAGCUGGGCUUGUCCUGACACUGAGGCACGAAAGCGUGGGGAGCAAACAGGAUUAGAUACCCUGGUAGUCCACGCCGUAAACGAUGCGCACUA
RNAcentral lists this ribosomal RNA (694 nucleotides) under uncultured Phycisphaeraceae bacterium. RNAcentral describes it as "bacterial SSU rRNA". It matches the Rfam family "Bacterial small subunit ribosomal RNA", at positions 89 to 818 of the family's 1533-position model. The record is from RNAcentral. Lineage: Bacteria; Pseudomonadati; Planctomycetota; Phycisphaerae; Phycisphaerales; Phycisphaeraceae.